CUCCCUCGUUGCUGACCCCAGGUUCGAUAGUACCAAUUAGGCGCCACCUCGCCAAGAACCAACUUCGAUGAAGCGACGGGCGGUGUGUGCA
RNAcentral lists this ribosomal RNA (91 nucleotides) under uncultured archaeon. RNAcentral describes it as "partial 16S ribosomal RNA". The record is from RNAcentral.